GAUGAACGCUGGCGGCGUGCCUAAUACAUGCAAGUCGAGCGAACAGACGAGGAGCUUGCUCCUCUGACGUUAGCGGCGGACGGGUGAGUAACACGUGGAUAACCUACCUAUAAGACUGGGAUAACUUCGGGAAGCCGGAGCUAAUACCGGAUAAUAUAUUGAACCGCAUGGUUCAAUAGUGAAAGACGGUUUUGCUGUCACUUAUAGAUGGAUCCGCGCCGCAUUAGCUAGUUGGUAAGGUAACGGCUUACCAAGGCAACGAUGCGUAGCCGACCUGAGAGGUUGAUCGGCCACACUGGAACUGAGACACGGUCCAGACUCCUACGGGAGGCAGCAGUAGGGAAUCUUCCGCAAUGGGCGAAAGCCUGACGGAGCAACGCCGCGUGAGUGAUGAAGGUCUUCGGAUCGUAAAACUCUGUUAUUAGGGAAGAACAAAUGUGUAAGUAACUAUGCACGUCUUGACGGUACCUAAUCAGAAAGCCACGGCUAACUACGUG
This 497-nucleotide ribosomal RNA is filed under the name uncultured bacterium. Its description in RNAcentral is "partial 16S ribosomal RNA". It matches the Rfam family "Bacterial small subunit ribosomal RNA", at positions 28 to 507 of the family's 1533-position model. The record is from RNAcentral.